UGUACGAAAACGUUGAGAAAUCAAUUGAUUAAGAAUGAGGUUGGAUCGUCGACAAUUCCCUAAACAAUAGUAUUCACAUGCAAUUCAAUUGUAUCGUAAUGAAUCACUCGAAUGUUACAACUAGAUCAACAAUAUGGUNNNNNNNNNNAGCUACCGGUAGCGGAGUAUUUGAAAACGCGUUGAUCGUAUGCUACAUUCUAUGUUUCAAUCUCUCGACCGGAAACACUCAAAUGCACAAUGAAUUCAGUUCUGAUUUCAACUCAUACUCUCGUACAUAAUCAAAAUCUAAGUUCAUUGCAAGAUUGAUCAGAAAUUGUAAAGCAUUAAGGAUAGAACUUCAUUGAAUAACAUUCAUAAAAGAGAGAUUCAGUACAGAUACAAUUGAUUACAUGGAAUACAUUGGUUUAGUUCCUCAUCAUGAUCCAACCUCAAUGGAGGUCUAGCCUCUCAUCGUGAAGUAGCUCGAUUCUUGCUCCAACUUCAAGGAAUCCACUCCCAUGAUGUUGAAUGCUUCCGAUCUAGC
Molecule: long non-coding RNA, 523 nt
Filed under: Trifolium pratense (red clover)
Lineage: Eukaryota; Viridiplantae; Streptophyta; Magnoliopsida; Fabales; Fabaceae
Description: long non-coding RNA (TPRA_LNC004764)
Source: RNAcentral